AUUGAACGCUGGCGGCAUGCCUUACACAUGCAAGUCGAACGGCAGCAUAGGAGCUUGCUCCUGAUGGCGAGUGGCGAACGGGUGAGUAAUAUAUCGGAACGUGCCCUAGAGUGGGGGAUAACUAGUCGAAAGACUAGCUAAUACCGCAUACGAUCUACGGAUGAAAGUGGGGGAUCGCAAGACCUCAUGCUCCUGGAGCGGCCGAUAUCUGAUUAGCUAGUUGGAGGGGUAAAAGCCUACCAAGGCAACGAUCAGUAGCUGGUCUGAGAGGACGACCAGACACACUGGGACUGAGACACGGGCCAGAAUCCGACGGGAGGCAGCAGUGGGUGAUUUUGUACAAUGGGGGCAACCCUGAUCCAGCAAUGCCGCGUGAGUGAAGAAGGCCUUCGGGUUGUAAAGCUCUUUUGUCAGGGAAGAAACGGUAGUAGCGAAUAACUACUACUAAUGACGGUACCUGAAGAAUAAGCACCGGCUAACUACGUGCCAGCCGCCGCGGUAA
RNAcentral lists this ribosomal RNA (502 nucleotides) under uncultured bacterium. RNAcentral describes it as "partial 16S ribosomal RNA". It matches the Rfam family "Bacterial small subunit ribosomal RNA", at positions 30 to 523 of the family's 1533-position model. The record is from RNAcentral.